CCUACGGGGCGCAGCAGUGAGGAAUAUUGGUCAAUGGCCGGAAGUCUGAACCAGCCAAGUAGCGUGCAGGAUGACGGCCCUACGGGUUGUAAACCUCUUUUGUCGGGGAGCAAAGAGAGUGACGUGUGACUCAUUGAGAGUACCCGACGAAAAAGCAUCGGCUAAUUCCGUGCCAGCAGCCGCGGUAAUACGGAGGAUGCGAGCGUUAUCCGGAUUUAUUGGGUUUAAAGGGUGCGCAGGCGGAGGUGCAAGUCAGUGGUGAAAUUGCGGUGCUCAACCCC
Molecule: ribosomal RNA, 281 nt
Filed under: uncultured bacterium
Lineage: Bacteria
Description: partial 16S ribosomal RNA
Rfam family: Bacterial small subunit ribosomal RNA
Source: RNAcentral